UACGUAGGGUGCGAGCGUUAAUCGGAAUUACUGGGCGUAAAGUGUGCGCAGGCGGCGCCGCAAGUCGAGUGUGAAAGCCCCGGGCUUAACUUGGGAAUUGCGCUCGAAACUAUGGUGCUGGAGUGUGGCAGAGGAAAGUGGAAUUCCACGUGUAGCGGUGAAAUGCGUAGAGAUGUGGAGGAACACCGAUGGCGAAGGCAGCCUUCUGGGCCAACACUGACGCUCAUGCACGAAAGCGUGGGGAGCAAACAGG
RNAcentral lists this ribosomal RNA (253 nucleotides) under uncultured bacterium. RNAcentral describes it as "partial 16S ribosomal RNA". It matches the Rfam family "Bacterial small subunit ribosomal RNA", at positions 524 to 776 of the family's 1533-position model. The record is from RNAcentral.